RNAcentral lists this ribosomal RNA (525 nucleotides) under uncultured bacterium. Its description in RNAcentral is "bacterial SSU rRNA". It matches the Rfam family "Bacterial small subunit ribosomal RNA", at positions 777 to 1300 of the family's 1533-position model. The record is from RNAcentral.
AAUAGAUACCCUGGUAGUCCACGCCGUAAACGAUGAGUGCUAAGUGUUAGAGGGUUUCCGCCCUUUAGUGCUGCAGCUAACGCAUUAAGCACUCCGCCUGGGGAGUACGGCCGCAAGGCUGAAACUCAAAGGAAUUGACGGGGGCCCGCACAAGCGGUGGAGCAUGUGGUUUAAUUCGAAGCAACGCGAAGAACCUUACCAGGUCUUGACAUCCUCUGCCACUCCUAGAGAUAGGACGUUCCCCUUCGGGGGACAGAGUGACAGGUGGUGCAUGGUUGUCGUCAGCUCGUGUCGUGAGAUGUUGGGUUAAGUCCCGCAACGAGCGCAACCCUUGAUCUUAGUUGCCAGCAUUCAGUUGGGCACUCUAAGGUGACUGCCGGUGACAAACCGGAGGAAGGUGGGGAUGACGUCAAAUCAUCAUGCCCCUUAUGACCUGGGCUACACACGUGCUACAAUGGAUGGUACAAAGAGCUGCGAACCCGCGAGGGUAAGCCAAUCUCAUAAAGCCAUUCUCAGUUCGGAUUG